RNAcentral lists this ribosomal RNA (312 nucleotides) under uncultured Micrococcus MC6. Its description in RNAcentral is "bacterial SSU rRNA". It matches the Rfam family "Bacterial small subunit ribosomal RNA", at positions 29 to 331 of the family's 1533-position model. Lineage: Bacteria; Bacillati; Actinomycetota; Actinomycetes; Micrococcales; Micrococcaceae. The record is from RNAcentral.
CCUAACGAACGCUGGCGGCGUGCUUAACACAUGCAAGUCGAACGAUGAAGCCUAGCUUGCUAGGUGGAUUAGUGGCGAACGGGUGAGUAAUACGUGAGUGACCUACCUUUGACUCUGGGAUAAGCCUGGGAAACUGGGUCUAAUACCGGAUACGACCAAUCUCUGCAUGGGGUGUUGGUGGAAAGCGUUAUGGAGUGGUUUUAGAUGGGCUCACGGCCUAUCAGCUUGUUGGUGAGGUAAUGGCUUACCAAGGCGACGACGGGUAGCCGGCCUGAGAGGGUGACCGGCCACACUGGGGACUGAGACACGGCC